Molecule: unclassified non-coding RNA, 386 nt
Filed under: uncultured bacterium
Lineage: Bacteria
Description: contains 16S-23S intergenic spacer region
Source: RNAcentral
UCCUGGUUUCCCAGGCAGUCCCAUCAGAGUGCUUUCAAUAAAGAAAUAGCAACUGACAGCAAGGGUUGCGCUCGUUAUAGGACUUAACCCAACAUCUCACGACACGAGCUGACGACAGCCAUGCAGCACCUGUGCAAAUGUCCAAGGUUACCCCUGGAAAGCUACAUCUCUGUAGCGAUCAUAAGCAUGUCAAGCCUAGGUAAGGUUUCUCGCGUAGUGUCGAAUUAAAUCACAUGUUCCACCGCUUGUGCGGACCCCCGUCAAUUCCUUUGAGUUUUAAUCUUGCGACCGUAAUCCCCAGGCGGAUCACUUAACGCGUUAGCUACGACACUAAUCUCGCAGAGCGAGACUAACGUCUAGUGAUCAUCGUUUACGGCGUGGACUAC